This 459-nucleotide ribosomal RNA is filed under the name uncultured bacterium. Its description in RNAcentral is "partial 16S ribosomal RNA". It matches the Rfam family "Bacterial small subunit ribosomal RNA", at positions 339 to 795 of the family's 1533-position model. The record is from RNAcentral.
CUACGGGACGCUCCAGUGAGGAAUAUUGGACAAUGGUCGAAAGACUGAUCCAGCCAUGCCGCGUGCAGGAUGAAUGCCCUAUGGGUUGUAAACUGCUUUUAUACGGGAAGAACACCACCCACGUGUGGGUGACUGACGGUACCGUAAGAAUAAGGACCGGCUAACUCCGUGCCAGCAGCCGCGGUAAUACGGAGGGGCCAAGCGUUAUCCGGAAUCAUUGGGUUUAAAGGGUCCGUAGGCGGGCUAUUAAGUCAGAGGUGAAAGUUUGCAGCUCAACUGUAAAAUUGCCUUUGAUACUGGUAGUCUUGAGUUAUAGUGAAGUGGUUAGAAUAUGUGGUGUAGCGGUGAAAUGCAUAGAUAUCACAUAGAAUACCAAUUGCGAAGGCAGAUCACUAACUAUAUACUGACGCUGAUGGACGAAAGCGUGGGGAGCGAACGGGAUUAGAUACCCUCGUAGUC